GCCAGGUGUGGUGGCGGGCGCCUGUAAUCCCAGCUACUUGGGAGGCUGAGGCAGGAGAAUCGCUUGAACCCAGGAGGCGGAGGUUGCAGUGAGCCGAGAUCAUGCCACUGCACUCCAGCCUGGGUAAGAGAGCAAGACUUUGUCUCAA
Molecule: unclassified non-coding RNA, 148 nt
Organism: Macaca mulatta (Rhesus monkey)
Lineage: Eukaryota; Metazoa; Chordata; Mammalia; Primates; Cercopithecidae
Rfam family: Metazoan signal recognition particle RNA
About the family: The signal recognition particle (SRP) is a universally conserved ribonucleoprotein. It is involved in the co-translational targeting of proteins to membranes.
Source: Ensembl